GUGUGCAGAUGGUAACAAGGAAACAGCCAGCCACAAUCAUCCAGCCCCAGCCUCCAUCUGGAGGGGAGGUAGACCGAGCUCUAUUUACUUUUGCCAUGGUUUUUCUUUUUUCUUCUUUUCCAGGUUGCUCCAACAGCCAAGUUAUGAUCUUGGAAGAGUUUGCUGUCCAGUGACUUCCUGAUGGCAUUCAAGGUUGGCAUAGAACGCUACCUGGCCCAUGGGUUACUCGCCAUCUAAAACCAAAAAUCAGGACAUAUUUAUAUCUUAUUGCUAUGUCCAAAGGUUGAUUUUUCUUCACUUGGUGAGCAUCUUCUGUUUGGCAUUUCCACAUGUAAUAAGUUAAGAACUGAUUU
This 353-nucleotide long non-coding RNA is filed under the name Homo sapiens (human). RNAcentral describes it as "HSALNT0166089". The record is from RNAcentral. Lineage: Eukaryota; Metazoa; Chordata; Mammalia; Primates; Hominidae.